GACGAACGCUGGCGGCGUGCUUAACACAUGCAAGUCGAACGGUGAAGGGGUCUGCUUUUGUGGGCCCUGGAUGAGUGGCGAACGGGUGAGUAACACGUGAGUAACCUGCCCCCUUCUUCUGGAUAACCGCAUGAAAGUGUGGCUAAUACGGGAUAUUCUGGGUCUGUCGCAUGAUGGGUCUGGGAAAGAUUGCGCCUUUGGGUGUUUUUGGUGGGGGAUGGGCUCGCGGCCUAUCAGCUUGUUGGUGGGGUGAUGGCCUACCAAGGCGGUGACGGGGAGCCGGCCUGAGAGGGUGGACGGUCACACUGGGACUGAGACACGGCCCAGACUCCUACGGGAGGCAGCAGUGGGGAAUAUUGCACAAUGGGCGCAAGCCUGAUGCAGCGACGCCGCGUGAGGGAUGGAGGCCUUCGGGUUGUAAACCUCUUUCGCCAGUGAAGCAGGCCUGCUCCUUGUGGGUGGGUUGACGGUAGCUGGAUAAGAAGCGCCGGCUAACUACGUG
RNAcentral lists this ribosomal RNA (502 nucleotides) under uncultured bacterium. Its description in RNAcentral is "partial 16S ribosomal RNA". It matches the Rfam family "Bacterial small subunit ribosomal RNA", at positions 28 to 507 of the family's 1533-position model. The record is from RNAcentral.